RNAcentral lists this unclassified non-coding RNA (526 nucleotides) under uncultured Glomeromycotina. RNAcentral describes it as "SSU rRNA". It matches the Rfam family "Eukaryotic small subunit ribosomal RNA", at positions 571 to 1092 of the family's 1831-position model. The record is from RNAcentral. Lineage: Eukaryota; Fungi; Glomeromycota.
CAGCCGCGUAAUUCCAGCUCCAAUAGCGUAUAUUAAAGUUGUUGCAGUUAAAAAGCUCGUAGUUGAAUUUCGGGAUUGGCGCAUCGGUCGUGCCUCACGGGGUAUGAACUGGUGCAGUCAAUUUCUCACCUUCUGGAGAACCGCGAUGUCCUUAAUUGGAUGCCGCAGGGAACCAGGACCUUUACUUUGAAAAAAUUAGAGUGUUUAAAGCAGGCAUUUUUGCUUGAAUACAUUAGCAUGGAAUAAUAAAAUAGGACGGCAUGGUUCUAUUUUGUUGGUUUCUAGGACCACCGUAAUGAUUAAUAGGGAUAGUUGGGGGCAUUAGUAUUCAAUUGUCAGAGGUGAAAUUCUUGGAUUUAUUGAAGACUAACUACUGCGAAAGCAUUUGCCAAGGAUGUUUUCAUUAAUCAAGAACGAAAGUUAGGGGAUCGAAGACGAUCAGAUACCGUCGUAGUCUUAACCAUAAACUAUGCCGACUAGGAAUCAGACGAUGUUAAUUUUUUAAUGACUCGUUUGGCACCUUAUG